Molecule: long non-coding RNA, 3721 nt
Filed under: Homo sapiens (human)
Lineage: Eukaryota; Metazoa; Chordata; Mammalia; Primates; Hominidae
Description: HSALNT0375602
Source: RNAcentral
GAAUCUAUGAAUAACAUCAGUUUCUAAGUUAUGAGUUGAUUUUUAACUACUGGGUUUAGGCCAGGCAGGCCCAGACCUGGUUUCGGGCCUGGCGUCAGGCUGCCUGUCUUUGGUUUUACUUCCUUGUUGUUUUUUCUUAAAACAGGUACUGAGUAUAAAACAAUAUAAAACAGUACGAGAGGGUCUCUCUCUUCCCUCAUUUACAUCUGUGUAACCACUAUCCUAAUCAACAUAUAGAAUAUUUUAUCACCUUUUAAGUUCCUAUGUGACUUACUGUUGUCAAUGUCCUUCUUCCAUUCCCAAUACCUGGAAACUACUGAUCUGAUUUUUGUCACCAUCGAUCAGAUUUGCUUUUUUCUAAAAUUUCGUAUGUAUACAAUUAUAUGGUAGGUAUUCUUUUGUGUCUAGCUUAUUUCUUUCAGAAUAAUGCUUUAAAAUUUAUCCAUAUUGGUGAAAGAAUCAGUACUUUAUUUCUUUUGGUUGCUAAGUACUAUUCAGUUUUAUGACUUGUGAUAUUAUGAAGUAUAUAUUCAAUCUUUGACCCCUUUUCCUGACAUACGACUCCUAAAAUACUUAGAAACUCUGAAGCGAUGUCUUAUCUUUGUUAAUGAUUGACUGAACGGAUGGCUGGCAGCCCCUGGGUAACUUCAGGAUGGGGGAUGGGAGAGACAAAGGCAUGAUUAGAGAGUUGGGACUUUCAGCUCCAUCCCCAAUAUCUGGGAAGGGGAGAGAGUCUGAAGGUUGACUACCAAUGGCCAAUGAUUUAAUCAAUUAUGCCUGUUUAAUGAAUCUUCCAUAAAAACCUAAAAGGACUAGGUUCAGAGAGCUUCCAGAUAGCUGAACACAUGGAGGUUCCUUGAGAGCGGUGUGCCCCAAGACAGUGAGGACGCUCUGCACCCCUUUCCCCCAUACCUUGCCCUUUGCAUCUCUUCAUCCUUAUGCUUUGUAAUAUAUGUAUGCCUUUAUAAUAAACUAGUAAAUGUAAGUAAGUGUUUCUCUGAGUUCUAUGAGAUGUUCUAGCAAAUUAAUUAUUAAUUGAACUCAAAUGGGGGGUCAUGGGAAUCUCAAUCUGGAAAGAAAAAUAAAAUCUGAAAACCACAAAGUUAUUAUGCCAAGGGGAAAAUUAAGGUUGGAAACGGAGUCACACAAAACACUGCCUUCCUUCUGUUCCCAAACAGGUAACUCUAAUUUCACAUGCUUACUCUAUCGUAUGUAAAAUGUAGAUUUACUGAGGAUGAGAUGAAUGCUUAAUUGAUUUUUUCCUCUACUCUCUUUUUUUCACACACAAAAUGUGGAUUCAUUGAGUGUUAAUCAAAGCCUUAUAAGAAUGUAACCACUUGUCUCAUUGCCUACUGUCCCUCCUUUUUUCCCCUUUCCCUCCUGCUUGCUCUUACACCUUAAAUAGUUAAGUUUCCAAAACCCUCUUUGGAAAAACACAGGUCAAGGAUCCUACUGUGACUUAUGUUUCUAUUUCCCAGGCAUAUCCUCGACUGGCAAAAUAAACCUCUAAUCAAUAGAGAUCUGCCUCAGUCACUUUUUGGCUUACAUGUUGGUGACCACGAAGGGACUCUGAGUGGAGUCUGGCUCUUGGCCUCCAGCAGGUCUCCUAUUGGGGCCCUGGUACCGGCUGGAGCUCUUUAUUACUCUUACAGAUUGGAUGAUUUGCUAUGUAAGUUCUGGGAACUUCUCCCUCCAGAGAUCCCUGAUCUCCCCCAAAUUUUCAAUUGGGAUCUGAGGUUUAUUCUGCUGUAAAACUCCUUUUCUGGUAGUUUCUGCUUCCAUGAUGGCAGACAGCAGUCUUCAGCUUGGGUCCAUCUCCAGGUAAGGAGCUGGUUUCAUAUUGGGAUUUGGUAGCUGAAGGGCAAGGUUUAUUGUCAGUUGGCUAUAACUUACCCUUAUGCUGAGAGAUCGCAAUUAUAUGUGAAUUCUGUGAUCACUUUUUCUGGUUUUUCUUUUCAGUUUUGGUCCACCUUCUGUUAGACUUUACCAACUCCUGGCCCCCUCUAAUGUUGAAUGAAACUCUGCAGCUGGAGAAAGUCAAUUUUCACUUCUAAAAACCCUGGCUGGGUAAGAAAGGUCAACAAUUUGACUACCUGAGAAGUUUCAUUUACACAACAAGACCCUUUUCCCAUCCUUUCUUUCGGUGCAAUUAAUUUAAAGAUUUUAGGGAUCUCUUAUUCUAAACAAUUAACAAAGAGAUCACAUUUAAAAAGGACAUAUAAUAGUGUCAUGGCCAGCCUUAAAAAUUCUCUUGACUAAAUUAAGAGUGAAAAAUCUGACCUAAACCAGUUCUGGUAGGUAAAAUUCCUGCAGAGGCUUGGGUUUGCUUUCUGGUCAAGGAAAAACAAAGGCCACUCCACCUGUGGCCCAAUAGUUAAAAUUCUGCACUUUCACAUCCACAGGGUGAGUCUGAUUACUGGUCAGGGAUCCAGCCCCUCUCGGUUUAAUAUUUGUGUGACUUUUUUGUUGGGUAUCAAUUUAUUAUUGAUCUUUAUGAUUGAUCUUUCCCACUUCCAUAGCUUUUUGUUUCCUGUCUUUUUUCAUCUGUUGGGGGCACAUGAGGCUUUGGGGCCUUUGUGUGCAUAUGGUCAGCUGAGAAGUAAUAUCAUCAGGAAGACGGGUGCUUCACCAUGCUUCUGCCUGUACCAGUGUACAGAAUAUAAAGCCUUGGAGGAACUGCAGUUGAUGACAGCAUCUUCCCCUUCUCGGAGGAUCACGGCUUGAGGACUCUGCACUGGUUGUUGGCUUCUCACCCCUGAUCAGAAAGACAAUCGAAUGAGAUGCUCAAUCUCGUGAAGGGAAGGGUGAUUUUCUCUCUUCCUUCCUUAUUUAAAACAUUAAGCAUCACCACAUAAUUACGGUACAUUUUCCUCACUUCUUAGGUCUGGUUCUUAAAAGGGCCCUUCCCAAGACAGAAAGCUAUUGUCAUUAAGAUGCUGUCAUAUCACAACCUCUCCCAGACUGAAUCGUGUACUCACAGGUCAACUGCCACAACAAGGUGCCUGAAAGCACUUUCAGGAGAGUCUCCAUCCUUGGCCUGCCAGAAUAUCCAGUCAGCUUCUGAAUGGGCUUCCUUAACAGGAGUUGCUUUGAACUCAGAAUGAGGCCUGUUGCAAUUGCUUCCAGGAUAUUGCAACUUUGGGGGCAACCAAUCAGAGACACAUCACAACAGUUUAACUGCAGAGAACUAAAUGCAUCUACCUAGAAUACUUUUUAAACAGCUCUCCCCUGUGGCCAGACUGAGGAAUGUUGAUUAAACUGUGGAUUUUGGCUUUUCUUGAGUAAGUUUUCAUACAGGAUAGGUUUUUUUCUUGCUAUAAGAAGGGCCUAUCAAUAUACUGUGUUACAGAAAGAAUUACUCCAGAAUUAAGAGAAAAAAGAAGUAUCAAGGGAAAAUGUAUUAUAUGUAUUUUACUACAUAUAUAUAUUUUAUAUACAUGCCCACACAUGGAUAUAAUAUAUAAGUAUGUGAACUCAUAGUAAUCUUUCAAACAGUGACAUUUCAUUAUAUUAUUUACUUGUGCAGAUUUCUUUCACUGCUCAUCAUUGUCUUCAAGAUAAUGUAAUGUACAAACAUCUUAUAAUGGCUUUUAAUUAUUUUCACAAAGUGGUUUCUGCUUAUUGCUUUAGUUUUAUAUUUACUGACAUACAUUUUGAGUUGUAUGCUCUGGCCAUCCUGAAUUAGUUUAAUGUCAUUCUCUUAACCUAAAUAUUGACUUCA